CGCAUGGACGAAGUCUGACGGAGCAACGCCGCGUGAGUGAUGAAGGUUUUCGGAUCGUAAAGCUCUGUUGUUAGGGAAGAACAAGUGCCGUUCAAAUAGGGCGGCACCUUGACGGUACCUAACCAGAAAGCCACGGCUAACUACGUGCCAGCAGCCGCGGUAAUACGUAGGUGGCAAGCGUUGUCCGGAAUUAUUGGGCGUAAAGGGCUCGCAGGCGGUUUCUUAAGUCUGAUGUGAAAGCCCCCGGCUCAACCGGGGAGGGUCAUUGGAAACUGGGGAACUUGAGUGCAGAAGAGGAGAGUGGAAUUCCACGUGUAGCGGUGAAAUGCGUAGAGAUGUGGAGGAACACCAGUGGCGAAGGCGACUCUCUGGUCUGUAACUGACGCUGAGGAGCGAAAGCGUGGGGAGCGAACAGGAUUAGAUACCCUGGUAGUCCACGCCGUAAACGAUGAGUGCUAAGUGUUAGGGGGUUUCCGCCCCUUAGUGCUGCAGCUAACGCAUUAAGCACUCCGCCUGGGGAGUACGGUCGCAAGACUGAAACUCAAAGGAAUUGACGGGGGCCCGCACAAGCGGUGGAGCAUGUGGUUUAAUUCGAAGCAACGCGAAGAACCUUACCAGGUCUUGACAUCCUCUGACAAUCCUAGAGAUAGGACGUCCCCUUCGGGGGCAGAGUGACAGGUGGUGCAUGGUUGUCGUCAGCUCGUGUCGUGAGAUGUUGGGUUAAGUCCCGCAACGAGCGCAACCCUUGAUCUUAGUUGCCAGCAUUCAGUUGGGCACUCUAAGGUGACUGCCGGUGACAAACCGGAGGAAGGUGGGGAUGACGUCAAAUCAUCAUGCCCCUUAUGACCUGGGCUACACACGUGCUACAAUGGACAGAACAAAGGGCAGCGAAACCGCGAGGUUAAGCCAAUCCCACAAAUCUGUUCUCAGUUCGGAUCGCAGUCUGCAACUCGACUGCGUGAAGCUGGAAUCGCUAGUAAUCGCGGAUCAGCAUGCCGCGGUGAAUACGUUCCCAGGCCUUGUACACACCGCCCGUCACACACGAGAGUUUGUAACACCCGAAGUCGGUGAGUACCUUUAUGGAGCAGCGCGAAGUGGACAGAUGAUGGGGUGAGUCGUAAACACAGGGG
This 1130-nucleotide ribosomal RNA is filed under the name Bacillus subtilis. RNAcentral's name for it is "bacterial SSU rRNA". It matches the Rfam family "Bacterial small subunit ribosomal RNA", at positions 367 to 1497 of the family's 1533-position model. Lineage: Bacteria; Bacillati; Bacillota; Bacilli; Caryophanales; Bacillaceae. The record is from RNAcentral.